GUCUCUGCCCGGUAGGGCGGCCUCGCCAGGCGCUUAGGCCCCGUUCCUUGCGGCUUUCGGACUAAGGGGUGCAGGGCUUUUUCUUGACUGGGGUUCAAGGACUGCUCUGCUGCCUGAUUGCUUUAGAGCCUAAGAAACAAGGAGGGCGAGGGCCGAGACCAGGGACACGACCAGCCCUCCAGAUCUGGUUCUUUCACAAGCUCCGCAGAGGCCCCAUGUUGGUGUGCGUGUGCAGUAGUGUUUCAGAGCGUCUGUGUAUCACACGCUACAUGAUUAACCCUAAUGUGAAGACACAGAGAGAAGGUGUCAUAUGUGGAGCAGGAAGCUGCCCUCACCAGACAUGGAAUCUGCAGGCAUCUUGCUCAUGGACUUCCCAGACUUCAGAACUACGGAGUUAUCAGGCCUCAGCCCAAGCUAAGCUAUCAUAUCCCCUGUGACCUGCACAUAUACAUCUAGAUGGCCUGAAGCAACUGAAGAACCAUAAAAGAUGACAUUCCACCAUUGUGAUGUUCCUGCCCCACCCUAGCUGAUCA
Molecule: long non-coding RNA, 533 nt
Filed under: Homo sapiens (human)
Lineage: Eukaryota; Metazoa; Chordata; Mammalia; Primates; Hominidae
Description: non-protein coding lnc-PSIP1-4:2
Source: RNAcentral